RNAcentral lists this ribosomal RNA (469 nucleotides) under Staphylococcus sp. R-45641. RNAcentral describes it as "bacterial SSU rRNA". It matches the Rfam family "Bacterial small subunit ribosomal RNA", at positions 25 to 476 of the family's 1533-position model. The record is from RNAcentral. Lineage: Bacteria; Bacillati; Bacillota; Bacilli; Caryophanales; Staphylococcaceae.
CAGGAUGAACGCUGGCGGCGUGCCUAAUACAUGCAAGUCGAGCGAACAGACGAGGAGCUUGCUCCUCUGACGUUAGCGGCGGACGGGUGAGUAACACGUGGAUAACCUACCUAUAAGACUGGGAUAACUUCGGGAAACCGGAGCUAAUACCGGAUAAWAUAUUGAACCGCAUGGUUCAAUAGUGAAAGACGGUUUUGCUGUCACUUAUAGAUGGAUCCGCGCCGCAUUAGCUAGUUGGUAAGGUAACGGCUUACCAAGGCAACGAUGCGUAGCCGACCUGAGAGGGUGAUCGGCCACACUGGAACUGAGACACGGUCCAGACUCCUACGGGAGGCAGCAGUAGGGAAUCUUCCGCAAUGGGCGAAAGCCUGACGGAGCAACGCCGCGUGAGUGAUGAAGGUCUUCGGAUCGUAAAACUCUGUUAUUAGGGAAGAACAAAUGUGUAAGUAACUAUGCACGUCUUGACGGU